Molecule: ribosomal RNA, 1510 nt
Filed under: Vibrio nigripulchritudo ATCC 27043
Lineage: Bacteria; Pseudomonadati; Pseudomonadota; Gammaproteobacteria; Vibrionales; Vibrionaceae
Description: bacterial LSU rRNA
Rfam family: Bacterial large subunit ribosomal RNA
Source: RNAcentral
AUGGUUAAGUGACUAAGCGUACACGGUGGAUGCCUUGGCAGUCAGAGGCGAUGAAGGACGUACUAACUUGCGAUAAGCCCAGAUAAGACAGUAAGAGUCAUUUGAGUCUGGGAUUUCCGAAUGGGGAAACCCACUUACAUAAGUAAGUAUUGCUGAGUGAAUACAUAGCUCAGUGAAGCGAACUCGGGGAACUGAAACAUCUAAGUACCCGAAGGAAGAGAAAUCAACCGAGAUUCCGAAAGUAGCGGCGAGCGAAAUUGGAUUAGCCCUUAAGCUUUUUAUGCGUCAGGUGAAGCUUCUGGAAAGGAGCGCGAUACAGGGUGAUAGCCCCGUAACCGACAGCGCAUUUACAGUGAAAUCGAGUAAGGCGGGACACGUGAUAUCCUGUCUGAAUAUGGGGGGACCAUCCUCCAAGGCUAAAUACUACUGACUGACCGAUAGUGAACCAGUACCGUGAGGGAAAGGCGAAAAGAACCCCUGUGAGGGGAGUGAAAUAGAACCUGAAACCGUGUACGUACAAGCAGUAGGAGCCCUUCGGGGUGACUGCGUACCUUUUGUAUAAUGGGUCAGCGACUUAUAUUCAGUGGCAAGGUUAACCAUCUAGGGGAGCCGUAGGGAAACCGAGUCUUAACUGGGCGCUCAGUCUCUGGAUAUAGACCCGAAACCAGGUGAUCUAGCCAUGGGCAGGUUGAAGGUUGAGUAACAUCAACUGGAGGACCGAACCGACUAAUGUUGAAAAAUUAGCGGAUGACUUGUGGCUAGGGGUGAAAGGCCAAUCAAACCUGGAGAUAGCUGGUUCUCCCCGAAAGCUAUUUAGGUAGCGCCUCGGACGAAUACUACUGGGGGUAGAGCACUGUUAAGGCUAGGGGGUCAUCCCGACUUACCAACCCUUUGCAAACUCCGAAUACCAGUAAGUACUAUCCGGGAGACACACGGCGGGUGCUAACGUCCGUCGUGGAGAGGGAAACAACCCAGACCGCCAGCUAAGGUCCCAAAGUAUUGCUAAGUGGGAAACGAUGUGGGAAGGCUCAGACAGCCAGGAUGUUGGCUUAGAAGCAGCCAUCAUUUAAAGAAAGCGUAAUAGCUCACUGGUCGAGUCGGCCUGCGCGGAAGAUGUAACGGGGCUAAGCAAUACACCGAAGCUGCGGCUGCAUACUUUGUAUGCGGGGUAGGGGAGCGUUCUGUAAGCCGUUGAAGGUGGUUCGUAAGGGCUGCUGGAGGUAUCAGAAGUGCGAAUGCUGACAUGAGUAACGAUAAAGGGAGUGAAAAACUCCCUCGCCGGAAGACCAAGGGUUCCUGUCCAACGUUAAUCGGGGCAGGGUAAGUCGACCCCUAAGGCGAGGCUGAAAAGCGUAGUCGAUGGGAAACGGGUUAAUAUUCCCGUACUUCUUACAAUUGCGAUGGGGGGACGGAGAAGGCUAGGUGGGCCUGGCGACGGUUGUCCAGGUUCAAGUGCGUAGGCUUGAGAGUUAGGUAAAUCCGGCUCUCUCUAAGGCUGAGACACGAUGUC